This 342-nucleotide ribosomal RNA is filed under the name uncultured bacterium. RNAcentral describes it as "bacterial SSU rRNA". It matches the Rfam family "Bacterial small subunit ribosomal RNA", at positions 1 to 334 of the family's 1533-position model. The record is from RNAcentral.
GUGAGUAGUUCAGAGUUUGAUCCUGGCUCAGGAUGAACGCUAGCUACAGGCUUAACACAUGCAAGUCGAGGGGCAGCGCAGUGUAGCAAUACAUGGGUGGCGACCGGCGCACGGGUGCGUAACGCGUAUCCAACCUUCCCGUUACUCUUGGAUAGCCUUCCGAAAGGGAGAUUAAUACAGGAUGGUGUUUGAAUUCCGCAUGUUAUUCAAACUAAAGAUUUAUCGGUAACGGAUGGGGAUGCGUGACAUUAGGUAGAUGGCGGGGUAAUGGCCCACCAUGCCUACGAUGUCUAGGGGUUCUGAGAGGAAGGUCCCCCACACUGGAACUGAGACACGGUCCAG